RNAcentral lists this ribosomal RNA (424 nucleotides) under uncultured bacterium. Its description in RNAcentral is "bacterial SSU rRNA". It matches the Rfam family "Bacterial small subunit ribosomal RNA", at positions 355 to 775 of the family's 1533-position model. The record is from RNAcentral.
UGAGGAAUAUUGGUCAAUGGGCGCAAGCCUGAACCAGCCAUCCCACGUGCAGGAAGACGGCGCUAUGCGUUGUAAACUGCUUUUCCAGGGGGAGAAACUUGCGCACGUGUUGCGCAAUUGACGGUACCCUGGGAAUAAGCAUCGGCUAACUCCGUGCCGGCAGCCGCGGUAAUACGGAGGAUGCGAGCGUUAUCCGGAUUCAUUGGGUUUAAAGGGUGCGUAGGCGGACUAUUAAGUCAGUGGUGAAAUCCUGCAGCUUAACUGCAGAACUGCCAUUGAUACUGAUAGCCUUGAGUUUGGUUAAGGUAGGCGGAAUGUGUAAUGUAGCGGUGAAAUGCUUAGAUAUUACACAGAACACCAAUUGCGUAGGCAGCUUACUGAGCCGACACUGACGCUGAGGCACGAAAGCGUGGGGAUCGAACAG